Molecule: long non-coding RNA, 1353 nt
Organism: Puntigrus tetrazona (Sumatra barb)
Lineage: Eukaryota; Metazoa; Chordata; Actinopteri; Cypriniformes; Cyprinidae
Exons: 3
Source: RefSeq, a predicted model, not a curated record
AGCUAACAACAACAACAACUGCCCCAACAUCUACCACAACAACUCCGCCAACAUCUACCACUCUUACAACAACUGUGCCAAUAUCUACCAUUCUUUUAACAACAUCUGUAUCAUCAACAUUGAUAUCAACUGCAUUAACAUCAUCUACCUCUUCACUGACAACAACUCAACCAGCAAGUCAGUCAACAGCAUUAUCUCCAGAAGCUGUCCUGCGAAACAUGACAGCAGUUGCGUACAUUAAUUUCAAAAUGAGAUCCUUCGUUGAGCUGAGGAAUGAUGAAAUCGUUACAUAUCUUGAAAAGUUUUUCAAGUACACAAACAGCAGUGGGAACAUCAGGAUUACCGUGAGGAAAUCAAAAAAACUAUUGACUUGAGGAUCUGACGCGGAAAGCUGCAGUCUUUGAACGAAACGAUCAGGCAGUCAACUAAAAAAAUGUUUUUCAUUUCAUGUGCAUCGUUGCUUCAGAUUAGAUUCUGCUCCCUUCAGUGUGAACGAUUAAAAAAGCUCCCGUAUAACAUCUCAAAUUUGAAGAACGCCAGAACGGGUUGCAUCCAUCUUGCUAGAUAUUAGCUAGGUAAGUCUUUCGAGACAAUAGGCAAAAAAUUUGUUAGUGUAAAUAGGCUACAGAUUUAUAAGUGAUAUAACGUUUUAAAUAAAUGCUAAUGUAGUUACGGUGGUUGAAUCACAGGCGAUCAGGUUUUCAGUUUGUUUCUGAUGUUCCUCAUUGAUUGAUUCACUUUUUCACACCUGCUGUUCGUUUCUUUUACGUCAUCUUGAUUAUUUAUUGUCAAAUCUUUGUUAUUUCUCAUUGCUUAGGAGCUGGUUGCUCUGUUCUUGUUUCUAAUUUCUUAUUUUUUUGUGAAUAAAAGUACUUCUGCAUUAGAUCCCCUUUGUGACAUCUUUAAUUUUUGAGAUUUAACCCUUAAACUCCAGAAACACCAGAUGUGUGCACGUUAUUUGGAAGACAUUAGUAUGUAGUUAUGAAGUCAUGAAGUAUUUAAAAUAUCUGGUAAAUGCUCAUCAAUGUUGAAAUGCCUUGGCAGGUUACAAAAUGCUGAUCAACCGGUGAUGAAAACUAAAACUCUUAUGAAAAAGCAUAAGUAUCAGAUUUGUUUUUAAACCAAUUUGACAGAAAAAUGAUUUAAAUUUUGCAGGGCUUGCUUUAUUUCUAAGCGUAACCUCUUCUCUGUCCCUCUUCUUGAUUUUUUCAAAUUUAUCAAGAUUAUUAAGAAAUCUAGACAACAGAAAAUCUUUUAAUCUCAUCUGAAAUACCUGAAAACAGUGAUAUCAGAAAUGAAUGAUGGAAAUCAUGAUAUUUCCUCAUACUGAAAAUCUUGCAUACUUUACUGAUU